AACAGCAGUUGGUAAGGGUGAAAAGGAGAGGUAAGAGCUCCCCGCACUCUUGGGAAACCAAGGUGGCAUGGUAAACCCCCUCUGGAGCAAGAUCGAAUAGGGAUAGGAGGACUUGCGUCCCUGCAGCUCUUCGUGCAGCACCUAUCCGGGUUGAUCGCUUGAGGUCUGCGGUGACGCAGAUCCUAGAGGAAUAGUCGCCCCUGCGUACAGGACAGAACCCGGCUUAUAGCCUUCCUCCGGAC
This 242-nucleotide RNase P RNA is filed under the name Holosporales bacterium. RNAcentral describes it as "partial RNase P RNA component class A". It matches the Rfam family "Bacterial RNase P class A", at positions 137 to 367 of the family's 367-position model. From Rfam's summary of the family: Ribonuclease P (RNase P) is a ubiquitous endoribonuclease, found in archaea, bacteria and eukarya as well as chloroplasts and mitochondria. Its best characterised activity is the generation of mature 5'-ends of tRNAs by cleaving the 5'-leader elements of precursor-tRNAs. The record is from RNAcentral. Lineage: Bacteria; Pseudomonadati; Pseudomonadota; Alphaproteobacteria; Holosporales.